This 45-nucleotide non-coding RNA is filed under the name Schistosoma mattheei. The record is from RNAcentral. Lineage: Eukaryota; Metazoa; Platyhelminthes; Trematoda; Strigeidida; Schistosomatidae.
ACCCAGCUGACGAGUCACAAAUAGGACGAAACGCGCGUCCUGGAU